This 459-nucleotide ribosomal RNA is filed under the name uncultured bacterium. RNAcentral's name for it is "partial 16S ribosomal RNA". It matches the Rfam family "Bacterial small subunit ribosomal RNA", at positions 338 to 795 of the family's 1533-position model. The record is from RNAcentral.
CCUACGGUUGGCAGCAGUGAGGAAUAUUGGUCAAUGGCCGUAAGGCUGAACCAGCCAAGUCGCGUGAAGGAAGAAGGAUCUAUGGUUUGUAAACUUCUUUUAUAGGGGAAUAAAGGUAUCCACGUGUGGAUAUUUGCAUGUACCCUAUGAAUAAGCAUCGGCUAACUCCGUGCCAGCAGCCGCGGUAAUACGGAGGAUGCGAGCGUUAUCCGGAUUUAUUGGGUUUAAAGGGUGCGUAGGCGGGCUUUUAAGUCAGCGGUAAAAAUUCGGGGCUCAACCCCGUCCGGCCGUUGAAACUGGGGGCCUUGAGUGGGCGAGAAGAAGGCGGAAUGCGUGGUGUAGCGGUGAAAUGCAUAGAUAUCACGCAGAACCCCGAUUGCGAAGGCAGCCUUCCGGCGCCCUACUGACGCUGAGGCACGAAAGUGCGGGGAUCGAACAGGAUUAGAUACCCUUGUAGUC